AUGUGUUUGCCUCUGGGGCUAAGACAAGAGAGAGAGUGCCUCCGCUCCAGCGUGUACCAUUUGACAUUGGUUGAUGGAGAGGAGCAUAUUAUUUCACCUUCAUCCUCUGUUGCUGCUGCCUGCUUAUCCUUGAGGGAAGAUGUGUCUAACGUUAUGUGUACAGUGAUCGAUCGAUCGAUCAACGGUGAGUCUUUUGUUGCUGUUGAUGUGGUAGUUUCUUUCUUGUGUCAGCUACGGGUUGGGUUGGAUUGGAUGGUGCUCUCUCAGCUCACUCUCGUCCAAUCCGUGCAUGUGAAAAAUACACCUGUCUAUCUAUCUAUCUAUCUAUCUAUCCUGUGUGGUGAUGAUAUAUGCUUCUAG
Molecule: ribosomal RNA, 360 nt
Filed under: Triticum aestivum (bread wheat)
Lineage: Eukaryota; Viridiplantae; Streptophyta; Magnoliopsida; Poales; Poaceae
Description: partial small subunit ribosomal RNA
Source: RNAcentral